This 533-nucleotide ribosomal RNA is filed under the name Siphlonurus yoshinoensis. RNAcentral's name for it is "SSU rRNA". It matches the Rfam family "Eukaryotic small subunit ribosomal RNA", at positions 620 to 1119 of the family's 1831-position model. Lineage: Eukaryota; Metazoa; Arthropoda; Insecta; Ephemeroptera; Siphlonuridae. The record is from RNAcentral. RNAcentral also lists the same sequence under 3 other names.
UAAAAAGCUCGUAGUUGGAUCUGUGUAUCGGACGGUCGGUUCGCCGCUCGCGGCGUUUAACUGACCGGUCCGGACGUCCUGCCGGUGGGACCCGGUUCGCGCCGGGGCCCGUAACUCCCUCCGCGCUGCUCUUAACCGAGUGGUUCGGUGGGCCGGCACGUUUACUUUGAACAAAUUUGAGUGCUCAAAGCAGGCCUUAUGUUGCCUGAAAACUGUGUGCAUGGAAUAAUGGAAUAGGGCCUCGGUUCUAUUUUGUUGGCUUUUCUGAACCCGAGGUAAUGAUUAAUAGGGACAGACGGGGGCAUUCGUAUGGCGACGUUAGAGGUGAAAUUCUUGGAUCGUCGCCAGACGGACCGAUGCGAAAGCGUUUGCCAAGAAUGUUUUCGCUAAUCAAGAACGAAAGUUAGAGGUUCGAAGGCGAUCAGAUACCGCCCUAGUUCUAACCAUAAACGAUGCCAGCCAGCGAUGCGCCGAAGUUCCUCCGAUGACUCGGCGCGCAGCUUCCGGGAAACCAAAGCUUUUGGGUUCCGGGG